RNAcentral lists this ribosomal RNA (816 nucleotides) under uncultured bacterium. Its description in RNAcentral is "bacterial SSU rRNA". It matches the Rfam family "Bacterial small subunit ribosomal RNA", at positions 1 to 804 of the family's 1533-position model. The record is from RNAcentral.
GAAUUCGCCCUUAGAGUUUGAUUCUGGCUCAGGAUGAACGCUGGCGGCGUGCUUAACACAUGCAAGUCGAACGGGCGCACAGAGGGAAACGGUAUUCGUACUGAAUCCGCUGUGAGCUAGUGGCGGACGGGUGAGUAACACGUGAGUAAUCUGCCUCAAGCAGUGGAAUAACAACGGGAAACCGUUGCUAAUACCGCAUAGAGUCACUUCUUGGCAUCGAGAAGAGAUAAAAGGGAGUAAUCCCGGCCUGAGAUGAGCUCGCGUCCGAUUAGGUAGUUGGUGAGGUAAUGGCUCACCAAGCCCGCGAUCGGUAGCCGGACUGAGAGGUUGAUCGGCCACAUUGGGACUGAGACACGGCCCAGACUCCUACGGGAGGCAGCAGUGGGGAAUAUUGGGCAAUGGGGGAAACCCUGACCCAGCGACGCCGCGUGAAGGAUGAAGGCCUUCGGGUUGUAAACUUUUUUGGAUGGGGACGAAGAAAUAACGGUACCCAUCGAACAAGCCACGGCUAACUACGUGCCAGCAGCCGCGGUAAUACGUAGGUGGCGAGCGUUAUCCGGAAUUACUGGGUGUAAAGGGCGUGUAGGCGGAUGAACAAGUCUGAUGUGAAAUCUUGCGGCUUAACUGCAAGCUGUCAUUAGAAACUGUAUAUCUUGAGUGUCAGAGGGGAAAGUGGAAUUCCUAGUGGAGCGGUAAAAUGCGUAGAUAUUAGGAGGAACACCGGUGGCGAAGGCGACUUUCUGGCUGACAACUGACGCUGAGGCGCGAAAGCGUGGGGAGCAAACAGAAUUAGAUACCCUGGUAGUCCACGCCGUA